GACGAACGCUGGCGGCGUGCUUAACACAUGCAAGUCGAACGGUAAGGCCCUUCGGGGUACACGAGUGGCGAACGGGUGAGUAACACGUGGGUGAUCUGCCCUGCACUUUGGGAUAAGCCUGGGAAACUGGGUCUAAUACCGAAUAUGACUACAGGCUGCAUGGUCUGUGGUGGAAAGCUUUUGCGGUGUGGGAUGGACCCGCGGCCUAUCAGCUUGUUGGUGGGGUGAUGGCCUACCAAGGCGACGACGGGUAGCCGGCCUGAGAGGGUGACCGGCCACACUGGGACUGAGAUACGGCCCAGACUCCUACGGGAGGCAGCAGUGGGGAAUAUUGCACAAUGGGCGCAAGCCUGAUGCAGCGACGCCGCGUGAGGGACGACGGCCUUCGGGUUGUAAACCUCUUUCAGCACAGACGAAGCGCAAGUGACGGUAUGUGCAGAAGAAGGACCAGCCAACUACGUG
RNAcentral lists this ribosomal RNA (462 nucleotides) under uncultured bacterium. RNAcentral's name for it is "partial 16S ribosomal RNA". It matches the Rfam family "Bacterial small subunit ribosomal RNA", at positions 28 to 507 of the family's 1533-position model. The record is from RNAcentral.